GUGGGGAAUCUUCCGCAAUGGACGAAAGUCUGACGGAGCGACGCCGCGCGAGUGAAGAAGGCCUUCGGGUCGUAAAGCUCUGUCAUCAGGGACGAACGGCCGGUGGAGUGGAAAGCCACCGGAUUGACGGUACCUGAGAAGGAAGCCACGGCAAACUACGUGCCAGCAGCCGCGGUAAUACGUAGGUGGCAAGCGUUGUCCGGAACUAUUGGGCGUAAAGCGCGCGCAGGUGGGAUCUUAAGUCCAUUUGUCAAGUUCGGAGCUCAACUCCGUGGUGGGAGGGAGACUGGGAUUCUUGAGUACCGGAGAGGAAAGUGGAAUUCCCCGUGUAGCGGUGCAAUGCGUAGGUAUGGGGAGGAACACCAGUGGCGAAGGCGGCUUUCUGGACGGUGUCUGACACUGAGGCGCGAAUGCCAGGGGAGCGAACGGGAUUAGAUACCCGAGUAGUAC
Molecule: ribosomal RNA, 450 nt
Filed under: uncultured bacterium
Lineage: Bacteria
Description: partial 16S ribosomal RNA
Rfam family: Bacterial small subunit ribosomal RNA
Source: RNAcentral